This 375-nucleotide ribosomal RNA is filed under the name Salmonella enterica subsp. enterica serovar Indiana. Its description in RNAcentral is "bacterial SSU rRNA". It matches the Rfam family "Bacterial small subunit ribosomal RNA", at positions 1132 to 1506 of the family's 1533-position model. Lineage: Bacteria; Pseudomonadati; Pseudomonadota; Gammaproteobacteria; Enterobacterales; Enterobacteriaceae. The record is from RNAcentral.
CGGGAACUCAAAGGAGACUGCCAGUGAUAAACUGGAGGAAGGUGGGGAUGACGUCAAGUCAUCAUGGCCCUUACGACCAGGGCUACACACGUGCUACAAUGGCGCAUACAAAGAGAAGCGACCUCGCGAGAGCAAGCGGACCUCAUAAAGUGCGUCGUAGUCCGGAUUGGAGUCUGCAACUCGACUCCAUGAAGUCGGAAUCGCUAGUAAUCGUGGAUCAGAAUGCCACGGUGAAUACGUUCCCGGGCCUUGUACACACCGCCCGUCACACCAUGGGAGUGGGUUGCAAAAGAAGUAGGUAGCUUAACCUUCGGGAGGGCGCUUACCACUUUGUGAUUCAUGACUGGGGUGAAGUCGUAACAAGGUAACCGUAGG